Long non-coding RNA from Nicotiana attenuata, 658 nucleotides. RefSeq lists it as uncharacterized. The transcript is spliced from 2 exons. Lineage: Eukaryota; Viridiplantae; Streptophyta; Magnoliopsida; Solanales; Solanaceae. The record is from RefSeq and is a predicted model, not a curated record.
UAAAGGUAAUUAGAAGGCGGGCAAAGGAAUUGGGAAAAGAACAAAACCCUACCAACUCUCGAAGAAGCGCUCCCUGUUUAUACGAAGAAGCUAACUCUCGAAGAACCGCUGACUCCUUCCAGAUUGUACGCGGCUAACUCUCUACUCAGCGCUCAUCGGUGACCUUCAGGCAACUUUAUCCGGUAUUGGGACAUCCGCCACCGUGCAAAAUGAGGACCUUGAGGAGAUGCGGCGAAUAAUUCAACAACUUUCUAGGAAAUGUGCCGAUGAACGGAAAAAAAAGGAAGCAUGAAGAGAAGAUUAGAGACGCACUUAGGAAUGACAUUGAGUCCCUCAAGGCUCAAGUGAAUCACUUAAUCGGCUUGCCCCGCUCUCCGCCAAAAAGAAGCCGACGGUCUCCGCCAAAAAGCCACAUUUAUGAAGAGGAUGAAAGUGAUGGAAAUAAUACAAAUGAUGAAGAAGAUGAGGAGGAACCCGAAGAUGAGUGAUUUUAUGUUUGGUUGGAUUGUUGUUUAGUUGGAUGUUAACUUUGAAUGUUAAGUUUUGAUGUUUGGUUGGAUAGUUUCGAUGAUUGAUGGGAUAAUUUGGAUGUUUGAUGGGAUAAUUUGAAUGUUUAGAUAUAGUUUAUAAAGUUUUUUUGUUGUUAAGUUGAGUUUUA